CGAUCUCCGUCUACAACCGCACCGCCGCCAAGGUGGACUCCACGCUCGUCCGCGCGCGCGACGAGGGCGCGCUUCCGGUGCUGGGCCACCGCGACCCGCGCGGGUUCGUGCUCUCCCUCGCCCGGCCCCGCACCGUCGUGCUCCUCGUCCAGGCGGGCCCCGCCGUCGACGCCACCAUCGACGCCCUCACCCCCUACCUCGAGCCCGGCGACGCCAUCGUCGACGGCGGCAACGAGUGGUACCAGAACACGGAGCGCCGCAUCGAGGAGGCCGCGGCGCGCGGGAUCCUGUACCUCGGGAUGGGGGUGUCCGGCGGGGAGGAAGGCGCGCGGAACGGGC
RNAcentral lists this long non-coding RNA (339 nucleotides) under Setaria italica (foxtail millet). RNAcentral describes it as "long non-coding RNA (SITA_LNC005945)". The record is from RNAcentral. Lineage: Eukaryota; Viridiplantae; Streptophyta; Magnoliopsida; Poales; Poaceae.